This 378-nucleotide ribosomal RNA is filed under the name uncultured bacterium. Its description in RNAcentral is "bacterial SSU rRNA". It matches the Rfam family "Bacterial small subunit ribosomal RNA", at positions 9 to 377 of the family's 1533-position model. The record is from RNAcentral.
GAGUUUGAUCCUGGCUCAGGAUGAACGCUAGCUACAGGCUUAACACAUGCAAGUCGAGGGGCAGCAUUAAAGUUUGCUUGCAAACUUUAGAUGGCGACCGGCGCACGGGUGAGUAACACGUAUCCAACCUGCCGAUAACUCGGGGAUAGCCUUUCGAAAGAAAGAUUAAUACCCGAUGGUAUAGUUUCACCGCAUGAUGAAACUAUUAAAGAAUUUCGGUUAUCGAUGGGGAUGCGUUCCAUUAGGCAGUUGGUGAGGUAACGGCUCACCAAACCUUCGAUGGAUAGGGGUUCUGAGAGGAAGGUCCCCCACAUUGGAACUGAGACACGGUCCAAACUCCUACGGGAGGCAGCAGUGAGGAAUAUUGGUCAAUGGGCG